Long non-coding RNA from Oreochromis aureus, 1677 nucleotides. The record is from Ensembl. Lineage: Eukaryota; Metazoa; Chordata; Actinopteri; Cichliformes; Cichlidae.
GUUCAAGCGCAGAUUAAUAGAACUACAGACUGAUAGCGUUACUGACGGGAAUCUAUAGCGUCUUGAGCUGAAUUAAGACUUCAGAAGUCAUUCGUCAUGUCGAAUGACCAGCGGAUAAACUCUCAGGUGUUUUGUGCCAGAAAUGGAGUGUCCACUGAAGACUGAAGAUACUGAAUCUCUACGCCGUGCCAUUGAUCCCUCCUGUGCCUUCAUCUAGACAAGAGACAUUAACUUAACCACUCUCACACGCUCUGUACCUACAUCACCUUCCCUGACAGUCAUAGCUUGGCUCAUCUGAGGGUGAAAUUAUAAGAAUGUGUUAUUUUGCAAAGUGCUCUCUAGGGUUCCUAAAUAAAAUAUGGCAUUGAGGUCAUUUCUUUUGAAUUAAUCCCUUCUUCUGAAAUAUAAGAACCUCUCCUGGUUUAAAUGGCACUUUGUUCCUUACUUCCUGUUCCACUCCCAACCCCAAAUAGAUGCUGACAAGCUGACACAGUAACAUGGAAGAGGGAAAGAAGCUGGAAAGGACCACUACAAAUAAACCCAAUGCCUAACAAUGAAAAAUGUAAAAUAAGAACAAUAAUAAUAAUAAAGAUAAAAGAUGAAGUAACAAGUUUUUUGUUUUUUUGUUUAUUCCAAAUGAUCAUCCAGAUGUCUGUGACAUGUGAUGACAAACACCAUAAUGGAAGGCCUUAGUCAUCACAUGCUUAAACUCAUCAUAUAUUUUUGCAUAUGCUGAACAGGCAGUCAGACAUGCUGUAACUGUGGGGUAGAAAACUGCAUGAACACCAUACAGCAGGGGUCUCAAACUCCAGUCCUCGAGGGCAUGGAAAAGUUGCAUGACACCGACCUUCGAGGAAUGGAGUUUGAGACCUCUGUCAUAUGGAAUAUGACAGGUGUGGUUGAACUUCAUGAAGACUCUGAAGUUUCUCUUCUGGCAGGACAGGAAUGUCGCCUUGUCCUGUGAGCCACUGUAAGGAUGUACUUAGAGUAGAACUGGAGUGUCACCGGCCUCAGGCUCUUCACCUUUUCAAAGACAAAGCAGUCAUUUAGAUAAAAUAUUAGAUAUUGUUUACCUGUAAAUGCACAAAGAGAAUUUAGAAAUGUAAUUAUUGUCAAGAGUGAACAAGCACUGAUAGUGUAAUCUACAGCUGUGGCCAAACGUUUAGAGAAUGAGAAGUGUUGUUUAUUUACAAAGUUUGCUGUUUCAGUGAUAGUUGUAUAUCAUAUUAUAUUACUUCAAACGGAGGUGAUCCAGUAACGCUGCACUAAUGAAUAAGACUAACUAUUCACUUUAGCUAAAGUUAUUAAGUUCGCUAAAGAGUUGGGAUGCUGUGUAAGACAUAAAUAAAGCUCAAAUACAAAGGUUUGGACAGCGUUUUGCAUGUUUCCCUACUCUAGGGGUCUCUGCAAGCAUACAGGGCUCUGACAGGGUACAAGAUGACAACUUUGGAAUUCUACUAGAAACAGUCUAUCAUAUUUGUUUGUCAAAGCUGAAAUCAGGGCAAACUACGCUAAAUUAGCCUUUUUAGCUAGCAGCUACAAUAAGCAUAAAGGUUACUGUACGGCUAUCAUUUGUUAACACGACGCUUGUUCUUAUACAUGUAAUACAUUUAUUACCAACCUGAGAGUUUAUCCGCUGGUCAUUCGACAUGACGAAUGACUUCUGAAGUCUUAAUU